GAUGCUGUGCCGGAAAUCGGGUUAUCUUGAUGUGGUAAAAUAUGUAAGUGGAAGUCUUUCCAGCAUCU
RNAcentral lists this transfer RNA (68 nucleotides) under Solecurtus divaricatus (divaricate short razor). RNAcentral describes it as "tRNA-Ile". The record is from RNAcentral. Lineage: Eukaryota; Metazoa; Mollusca; Bivalvia; Cardiida; Solecurtidae.